ACAAUGGGCGCAAGCCUGAUGGUGCGACGCCGCGUGGGGGAUGAAGGGCUUCGGUUCGUAAACCCCUGUCAUCUGUGAGUAAGGCUCCCAAUAAAAGCUUGGGAGAUUGAUAUCAGCAGAAGAGGAAGGGACGGCUAACUCAGUGCCAGCAGCCGCGGUAAUACUGAGGUCCCAAGCGUUGUUCGGAUUUACUGGGCGUAAAGGGUGCGUAGGCGGCUAUAAAAGUUUGGUGUGAAAUCUCCGGGCUCAACCCGGAAACUGCAUUGAAAACUAGAUAGCUAGAGGAUCGGAGAGGAGAUUGGAAUUCUCAGUGUAGCAGUGAAAUGCGUAGAUAUUGAGAGGAACACCAGUUGCGAAGGCGGAUCUCUGGACGGUUCCUGACGCUGAGGCACGAAAGCUGGGGUAGCGAAGAGGAUUAGAUACCCUCGUAGUCCCAGCCGUAAACGGUGCGCACUUGCUGUGGGCGGAUUCGACCCCGUCCGUGGCGAAGCUAACGCGAUAAGUGCGCCGCCUGGGGAGUACGGUCGCAAGAUUAAAACUCAAAGAAAUUGACGGGGGCCUGCACAAGCGGUGGAGUAUGUGGCUUAAUUCGAUGCAACGCGAAGAACCUUACCUGGCCUUGACAUGUAGUGGACCGGGUGCGAAAUCACCCUUUCCUUCGGGACUGCUACACAGGUGCUGCAUGGCUGUCGUCAGCUCGUGUCGUGAGAUGUUGGGUUAAGUCCCGCAACGAGCGCAACCCCCGUGUUCUGUUGCCACCCGGAUGAGAAUCCGGAGCACUCUGGACAGACUGCCUGGUUUCAACCAGGAGGAAGGUGGGGAUGACGUCAAGUCAGUAUGGCCCUUACGGCCAGGGCUGCACACGUACUACAAUGCCUGAUAUAAUGGGAAGCAAGACCGCGAGGUGGAGCAAAUCCUCAAAAUCAGGCCCAGUUCAGAUUGUAGGCUGCAACUCGCCUACAUGAAGGAGGAAUCGCUAGUAAUGCCGUAUCAGCUACGACGGCGUGAAUACGUUCCCAGGCCUUGUACACACCGCCCGUCACAUCAUGAAAGUCGAUUGUACCCGAAGUCGCCGCGUUAACCGCAAGGAGACAGGUGCCGAAGGUAUGGUUGGUAAUUGGGAUGAAGUCGUAACAAGGUAGCCGUAGGGGAACCUGUGGCUG
This 1163-nucleotide ribosomal RNA is filed under the name marine metagenome. RNAcentral's name for it is "bacterial SSU rRNA". It matches the Rfam family "Bacterial small subunit ribosomal RNA", at positions 368 to 1520 of the family's 1533-position model. The record is from RNAcentral.